UGCAGCUUCCAAUUAGCUCACAUGCCACAACCUGUCCCAAGAAUCAGUCCCGGACACGCUAAAUUACCGGACAAAUACCAACCCGGCAGCACGAGAAGGAUCCCAAAUGACGAUGCCGUCGUUCAAAGACAGUAGCUGAAGAUUUCUGCCUCCGACCCACUGUCCCGAGACCGUUACACCCAUUUAACCCGAGACUCGUAUAGAGUAAGGGGACCAGACGGGCACACCUUCUCCAAGAAGCAUCCACCAAGUAAACUAGAGAUCUGGAAGCCGAACUAAGGCCUUACCCUUGACAAAGAAUCCAACAAACCUCACCUCAGCGAACCUGCCACAUAGAUGCCAUAAGGAGAGAGAGCCGACGACCAAGAGUGCCACACCACCGAGUCCACACUACUUCAGAGAGAGACUAACAUCUACACACGCCACAAGCAAGCUCGGAGACGUAACAGAGAUGGCAGCCACUCCCACGCUGCCACUGGACCACCGCAAGAGAGAGAUCAACGAAGACUCCUAUCCUCACACGG
This 524-nucleotide long non-coding RNA is filed under the name Brassica napus (rape). RNAcentral's name for it is "long non-coding RNA (BNAP_LNC016450)". Lineage: Eukaryota; Viridiplantae; Streptophyta; Magnoliopsida; Brassicales; Brassicaceae. The record is from RNAcentral.